This is a long non-coding RNA of Cyprinus carpio (common carp), 1159 nucleotides long. Lineage: Eukaryota; Metazoa; Chordata; Actinopteri; Cypriniformes; Cyprinidae. The record is from Ensembl.
UAUAUAUAUAAAACUAUUUUGGAUAAAUAUUAUAUCAAAAUGUAAUGUUUAAACUAAACCAUAAAUAUAAUUUUGGGCUGGGGGGUGUGUGGGAACUAGAGUAUUUUUGUUCCGAGUUGGUUCAAUUUAUCUUUUAUUUUUCAUUGUGCGUAAUUGUAAUCGCUGCUAACACUCAUAUUUAAGUUGAUCUCAUAUUACUUAUUAACACUUUUAACAUCUCAUUACAGCAUUUAAAUUUUCUGUAUUGUAUGAACUGCUUUUGCCUGUUUGUAUGUUUCUGCUAUCGUCUGCUUAUCUGCUUCUUUCUCUGUCCAUCUCUGUCCCUUUAUUUGCUCUCCACUCGUCCUUCCAUCCCUUUCUGUAUCUUUCUCUGUCUCUCUCAGAAGUGUCAGACUACACUCAUCCUCCAGCUGCUCCACAAUCACUCAUCUCUCCACAGCUUCCACCUUCAGUUCCCAUCCGCCAGCUAAAAGCCGCAGUCACCAUCAGUUCUGCUGCCCUUCCAGGCUGGGCAGACCCGAGCCACCCUCCAGCAGGUGCUCAGAGCGGGCCAGCAGUUUACCAAACACACUGCCCCUCACCCUUUGACCUUUGACCUGUUGCACUCAUCCAAACGGCUGCCCUCACCUGGUGUGUCACAUCUUGUGUCUAUCGUGUCCUUCCUCUUGCCCUCGCUGUGAAGUGCUGAGAGAAGGACACUUCAGAGACUGCGGAGGAGGAAGUGAUCACUUUAGCUCUGUCAGAGAAGAUGCUAGAUGAGGCUUGUCAGACAGACGCUUGAGGAAGUGAGAGGUACCAAUUAAUGUCUUACACUUUGAUGGAUGCCUGUCAUAUACAGUUGCUACAACUUUCACGUCGUCCCCCAUCAAUUCUUCCUUUAUUUCUCUGUCCUUAUCCACAAGCCUCCCUCAUUCUGUCUCUCUCUUCCUCCAGCGCCUCACUAACUUUGUGUAAACGCAGGAUCAAACAUAGCUGGCUCAGUUUAAGCCUCACAGAACAGCCAUGAUUGAGAGAGAGAGAGUAAAAGAAGAGUGUGUGAACUUGAUCUGUCGCUCUCUAUCCUCUUUCCCUUAACUGUGCCAUUUAAAGCCUCGUGCGCACGUCUGCUGGCAGAAUGCCUCCCAAAAUAAAAGCAACCUCAUUACUUUAGACUCUGACA